GCUGGGUGUGGUGGUGCAUACCAGUAAUCCCAGCCACUUGGGAGGCUGAGGCAGAAGGAUUGCCAAUUUGAGGUCAAGUGUGACAACUUAACAAGACUCUGUCUAAA
Molecule: small RNA, 107 nt
Filed under: Marmota monax (woodchuck)
Lineage: Eukaryota; Metazoa; Chordata; Mammalia; Rodentia; Sciuridae
Source: RNAcentral